CAGACUCAUAAUUCAUGCUCUGCAAAGAGCUUCCUUUACAAAACACUUGCUUGCAAGAACAGGAAAAGACAUAUGGUCACACGAGGUAUUUUGUAUAAAUCAGUUUUCCAGUAAAGUUAAUUCACAAUCAUGCCUUAAAUGUGGAAAAAAAAAAUGCUGAAAUAUGAAGAUAAAUCAUUUUAAAUUCAAAGGAAUAUUAACUGAAAUGUUAUCAGUCAAACGCACCUGCUUUACUGUCACGUUUGAAUAAAGGUAAAGAGGUUAAGGGCAAAUACACUCUGUGGUGAAUUAUGGUGGUUUUUGCUCUCAGAUUGCAUGACAGAGCAUCUGAUGGAUAUUGCUCAACAAUUAUGGUAAGAGCUGGUGGUAAUAGAGUUCAAAUUUGAUUGGUUUGCUUUCCAGGAGUGAUAGUGCACUUGUUUUAAUCAUUCUGCUGGGAAACAAAGGCAUUUGCAAGUUACAAUUGACCAUAUCCAUGGAAGAGCACGAUGCUACAUUCGCCAAAAUUUGCAAGGUUUGGGAAAAAUUGAAGAAUUGACUCCCCUUCAGUUUGUCAGUGUGAAACUGAAUUAAAUUGGCUACACUUCCAAGACAUCCAACAGAGCGGGCCACGGGUUUUAUUGCAUCCACUGAAAAUGGAUAUUUAACAAAUCGUUGAACACAUUUUUAUGUGGCCGUAGGCUGUGGCAAAGAAGAGCAGCGAAAUUCAUAAGGCUCACUGCUACACGUGGGUGGGAAAUAUAUUUUAUGAAAAAAAAAAAAAAUCACAGACUGCACUUUCUUCUUUGCAGGGGUUUUAGGAUAGCGAGAGGACAGGAAAUGAUUGGAGGAAGAGAAGGAAAUGGGAACUCAAACUCCAGCAGAUUUGCUGAUGGUUGUUCACCAGAUACACCACUGUCAAACCAGAACAAACAAGCAUGAAAUUAAGGCUUUUCUAAGCCAGGGCUAAUAUAAGAGGCUUUUGCACCGGUAGUUAUAGGAACUCAAUUAUAAGAACUAGUCACCAGGAGGGUUCUCCAAGAACGAAAUUUUCCCCUAGGGCCAUUUUCCUGGUUGCAAAAGGCUUUUGCACCGUGCAGUUCUAGGAACUUGGUUCUGAGUUCAGUUCCCAGAGAACCAGUUUUCUCCUCAGUCCAUUUUCCUGGUUGCACUCACGCCUGCAGCAGGAACUCUGAAGCAGCCUACAGCGACUUUAUGCUAAAAUUUACAAAGGUCAGCAACCAGUGAAUGGGGGACACCGUGAUCGGAGCAGUUUUUGUUGUGUGUCGUGGAUUUCAUGAUAAUGGAGAAGGAAUGUAAACACACAAUUUACGCACCUGAAAGAGCAUGAAAAUCUGACUAAAUCUCUUAUGAUAAUUUGCAAUGUUACAUAUCAUCAAGGCUGAGAAAAGAACACAGUUCUUGGCUAAAUGCCAUUGUUGCUGGUUUACAUGUUUGUGGAGUAAAUAUUUUUACUGAUCCAUAUGACGCCACUGAAUCAAUCAUGAACUGACUUUAACUAACAAAAUUUGAGUGUUUACUAUUGUCCUUUUGCAUUAUCGACACACUGUUUUCCUAUUUAACACUGUAAAGCUGCUUUGAAACAAUCUGUAUUGUUAAAGGGCUAUAUAAAUAAAGGUGAGCUGACUUGACUUGACUUAAAAUCC
Molecule: long non-coding RNA, 1646 nt
Organism: Cyprinus carpio (common carp)
Lineage: Eukaryota; Metazoa; Chordata; Actinopteri; Cypriniformes; Cyprinidae
Source: Ensembl